This 450-nucleotide ribosomal RNA is filed under the name uncultured bacterium. Its description in RNAcentral is "partial 16S ribosomal RNA". It matches the Rfam family "Bacterial small subunit ribosomal RNA", at positions 354 to 796 of the family's 1533-position model. The record is from RNAcentral.
GUGGGGAAUUUUGGACAAUGGGCGCAAGCCUGAUCCAGCAAUGCCGCGUGCAGGAAGAAGGCCUUCGGGUUGUAAACUGCUUUUGUACGGAACGAAACGGUCCUGGUUAAUACCUGGGGCUAAUGACGGUACCGUAAGAAUAAGCACCGGCUAACUACGUGCCAGCAGCCGCGGUAAUACGUAGGGUGCAAGCGUUAAUCGGAAUUACUGGGCGUAAAGCGUGCGCAGGCGGUUUUGUAAGACAGGCGUGAAAUCCCCGGGCGCAACCUGGGAAUUGCGCUUGUGACUGCAAGGCUGGAGUGCGGCAGAGGGGGAUGGAAUUCCGCGUGUAGCAGUGAAAUGCGUAGAUAUGCGGAGGAACACCGAUGGCGAAGGCAAUCCCCUGGGCCUACACUGACGCUCAUGCACGAAAGAGUGGGGAGCAAACAGGAUUAGAAACCCUUGUAGUCC